Molecule: ribosomal RNA, 584 nt
Filed under: uncultured bacterium
Lineage: Bacteria
Description: partial 16S ribosomal RNA
Rfam family: Bacterial small subunit ribosomal RNA
Source: RNAcentral
UGGGGAAUUUUGGACAAUGGGCGAAAGCCUGAUCCAGCAAUGCCGCGUGUGUGAAGAAGGCCUUCGGGUUGUAAAGCACUUUUGUCCGGAAAGAAAUCCUUGGCUCUAAUACAGUCGGGGGAUGACGGUACCGGAAGAAUAAGCACCGGCUAACUACGUGCCAGCAGCCGCGGUAAUACGUAGGGUGCAAGCGUUAAUCGGAAUUACUGGGCGUAAAGCGUGCGCAGGCGGUUUGCUAAGACCGAUGUGAAAUCCCCGGGCUCAACCUGGGAACUGCAUUGGUGACUGGCAGGCUAGAGUAUGGCAGAGGGGGGUAGAAUUCCACGUNUAGCAGUGAAAUGCGUAGAGAUGUGGAGGAAUACCGAUGGCGAAGGCAGCCCCCUGGGCCAAUACUGACGCUCAUGCACGAAAGCGUGGGGAGCAAACAGGAUUAGAUACCCUGGUAGUCCACGCCCUAAACGAUGUCAACUAGUUGUUGGGGAUUCAUUUCCUUAGUAACGUAGCUAACGCGUGAAGUUGACCGCCUGGGGAGUACGGUCGCAAGAUUAAAACUUAAAGGAAUUGACGGGGUCAUAGCUGUUUCC